ACCCAUAUUUAUGUAUCAAUCAAACUCCAGCAGCCUCACUGUGAGUAGUAGUACUAUAUCAAGUCAAAGGAUCAGACACACAACUAUAACAUUGAGAUAAUCACUGAUGAUUGAAUAGAAAUCUAAGUGAUCUCUCGUAUUGUCAUGCUCAGUGCUAGUUGUUCCCUAACAACCAUCCACACUCGUCGCCCUGUGUCUCUACAUAUUAGAUUAAAGACCCAUCUAUCCCA
Molecule: long non-coding RNA, 230 nt
Filed under: Elaeis guineensis (African oil palm)
Lineage: Eukaryota; Viridiplantae; Streptophyta; Magnoliopsida; Arecales; Arecaceae
Description: long non-coding RNA (EGUI_LNC057451)
Source: RNAcentral